Molecule: non-coding RNA, 70 nt
Organism: Ictidomys tridecemlineatus (thirteen-lined ground squirrel)
Lineage: Eukaryota; Metazoa; Chordata; Mammalia; Rodentia; Sciuridae
Source: Rfam
GUGGUUAUAGCUCAGUGGUAGAGCACUUGCUUAGCAUGUGUGAGGCAUGGGUUUGAUCCUCAGUACCACA